Molecule: transfer RNA, 86 nt
Filed under: Wenzhouxiangella sp.
Lineage: Bacteria; Pseudomonadati; Pseudomonadota; Gammaproteobacteria; Chromatiales; Wenzhouxiangellaceae
Description: tRNA-Leu
Rfam family: tRNA
About the family: Transfer RNA (tRNA) molecules are approximately 80 nucleotides in length. Their secondary structure includes four short double-helical elements and three loops (D, anti-codon, and T loops).
Source: RNAcentral
GCCGAGGUGGCGGAAUUGGUAGACGCGCCAGGUUUAGGUCCUGGUGUCCUUGCGGCGUGGAGGUUCGAGUCCUCUCCUCGGUACCA